RNA transcript from Macrosteles quadrilineatus (aster leafhopper), 1728 nucleotides. It is a transcript of the gene named mitochondrial ribonuclease P protein 1 homolog, with no coding region annotated. The record is from RefSeq and is a predicted model, not a curated record. NCBI's taxonomy places the organism in Eukaryota, Metazoa, Arthropoda, Insecta, Hemiptera, Cicadellidae. The transcript has 4 exons.
UAUUGUUUUUAUGUCUAUACCUUUUUAAGUUGCCGGUUCACUUCAUAAUCUAAUCGUUAAUAUGUUCAGGAACUAUUUGAAAGUUUUGAGCUUCUCUUCCAGUGUAACAAGUUCAAAUGUUAACAAACAGUGUAUAUUGAACAAGAUAGCACAUUUUUACGAAUCUCUAUAUUGUAAUCAUUCCAACUACAGUAAUAGGCUAAACCACACAGUUGUGGCUUCUUCAAACGUGUUAAGAAAUUUAAGAUUGAGCACUAACUUCAACAGCAAAAACUUUUGUGGUAAGACAGAUACCUCAGCCAAAAAUAUAAUUUUCAAAACACCAGAAUCAACUUUGUGUGAAUACAGUGAAAAUAAACAAGAUCAACAUCAAAUGGUCAAAUCAGGUGAUCAGAUAGGCAGUACUUUAGGGAGUCAAGCGAUAGGCCCAAGUGGGAUAGAUUUAUUUGAAGACAUAAACUUUGACGAAAUUACAGGUGGAGAUGAAGAAAAGACUAAUAGUUUUAAGCUUCUCAUGCUAGAACUUGAUGUGAUGCGACAAGACGGAAUGUGUGUUCCCUCCAAAAUGUCAACUGAACAGUGGAAAGAAUUAUUUGCUCUUCAGACUAGGAGUCAAAGACGCAAGUAUUUAAUGUAUCUGUUUAAAACUGAAAUGAAAAAAUUAAAUGAAAAGAGAAAAAAAACACUGAAAAGAGAAGCAACGGAACAGGCCCGCUCAGAAAAUACACUUAAGCUUAUUGAUGGCCCUGCUGAACACAUAAGAUAUGGAUUUCAAGGCAGUACAAUAUUUGUAAGGAUAUAUGACACAACGAUUAAUGCUCAUGAUAAUAACAGAUUGAUUCAAGCAAUGAUGUUCGGUCAUAAUCUUGUAAUUGACUGUGGGUUCUAUAACGAUAUGAACCAAAUGGAGAACAAAUUGUGCUGUAAACAAUUGGUUUACUUAUUUGCAGAAAAUCGAAUUUCUAAAAACCCAUUUAAUAUUCAUUUUUGCAACCUCAAAAAAGAUAGCUGUUUAUAUCAUUUUCUAAAAAAAUCUAUUCCCACCAUUGAAGAUCCAGCUUUUCCAAUCAACAUACAUGAAGGACACUAUUUAAACUUAUUUCAAAAAGAAAAACUGGUUUAUCUUACACCUCAUUGCCGUACUGAGUUGAAGGAGUUUAAUCCUGAUGAUAUUUAUAUCAUAGGAGCAAUUGUGGAUAGAGUGAACCAGAUGCCUUUGACUUUGGCUAAAGCGAAGAGUGAGGGGUUACGGAUGGCUCAGCUGCCUUUGGAUCGAUACCUUGAAUGGGGAUUGGGCAACAAAUCUCUAACAGUGAAUCAAGUGGUGAAGAUAAUGCAUGAUUUGCAAGUGACAGGUAAUUGGGAUACUGCAUUCAAGCAUGUUCCACGAAGGAAGAUUCGUGUACCUGGGGAACACGUGAGGGAUCCUAGAAGACAAUACAAGAGAGGAACAACUCUUCAACCAUCUACAUAUUUUAUCAAGAAGAACUACUAAUGAAGUACUUAAUACCUGUACGCCUGAAAAGAAGUGAAGUUGGCAACACUUAAAGGUUGGUCCUUGAUCUUCAAGUUGCCAAAUAAGGUCAAGUUUGUGUUGAAGCACUGAUGGGUCCAACAUCCCAUCAAUAUUGUAAAUUAGACCAUGCUGUACAGAUAGUCAAGUAUUAUGCUUAGGUAAGAUUGUCUUGAUUAUUGAAUUUUGUCUUUUUGUAAAAUUGUGACCAUAAA